CAGCAGCCGCGGUAAUACGAAGGGUGCAAGCGUUACUCGGAAUUACUGGGCGUAAAGCGUGCGUAGGUGGUGGUUUAAGUCCGUUGUGAAAGCCCUGAGCUCAACCUGGGAAUUGCAGUGGAUACUGGGUCACUAGAGUGUGGUAGAGGAUAGUGGAAUUUCCGGUGUAGCAGUGAAAUGCGUAGAGAUCGGAAGGAACAUCUGUGGCGAAGGCGACUAUCUGGGCCAACACUGACACUGAGGCACGAAAGCGGGGGGAGCAAACAGGAUUAGAUACCCCAGUAGUCCCUGUCUCUUAUAC
This 301-nucleotide ribosomal RNA is filed under the name uncultured bacterium. Its description in RNAcentral is "partial 16S ribosomal RNA". It matches the Rfam family "Bacterial small subunit ribosomal RNA", at positions 509 to 807 of the family's 1533-position model. The record is from RNAcentral.